UACAGAGGUCUCGAGCGUUGUUCGGAUUCAUUGGGCGUAAAGGGUGCGUAGGUGGCGCCGUAAGUCGGGUGUGAAAUCCUGGGGCUUAACCCCGGAACUGCAUUCGAUACUGCGGUGCUUGAGGACUGGAGAGGAGACUGGAAUUCAUGGUGUAGCAGUGAAAUGCGUAGAUAUCAUGAGGAAGACCAGUGGCGAAGGCGGGUCUCUGGACAGUUCCUGACACUGAGGCACGAAGGCCAGGGGAGCAAACGGG
This 253-nucleotide ribosomal RNA is filed under the name uncultured bacterium. Its description in RNAcentral is "partial 16S ribosomal RNA". It matches the Rfam family "Bacterial small subunit ribosomal RNA", at positions 524 to 776 of the family's 1533-position model. The record is from RNAcentral.